This 77-nucleotide transfer RNA is filed under the name Bacteroidales bacterium. Its description in RNAcentral is "tRNA-His". It matches the Rfam family "tRNA". From Rfam's summary of the family: Transfer RNA (tRNA) molecules are approximately 80 nucleotides in length. RNAcentral also lists the same sequence under 1 other name. Lineage: Bacteria; Pseudomonadati; Bacteroidota; Bacteroidia; Bacteroidales. The record is from RNAcentral.
GUGGGCGUAGUUCAGCUGGUUAGAGCGCCAGAUUGUGGAUCUGGAGGUCGUGGGUUCGAACCCCACCUCCCACCCCA